Molecule: long non-coding RNA, 2075 nt
Organism: Chrysolophus pictus (golden pheasant)
Lineage: Eukaryota; Metazoa; Chordata; Aves; Galliformes; Phasianidae
Source: Ensembl
CAGGUGUGGAGGAGAGGGGGGAGCUUCAAUGAUAACUCAUGCCAGGAAUUUAAAUUUCAUGUUAAAUAUGGACUAUAACUGAGACUCUGCAGUGUUUGAACUGAGCGUGUUGUUUUUAAAUUCCUGACCAAAGACGUGCAUAUUGUUUCUUGAUAGACAUGCACAUUGUGUAUUGAUAGAACUUCAUUCUAUCUGUGAUGUUGCUUUAAAAAACUGCUUUUUGCUACAUAUGUAGUUGCACUGUCUCCUUGUUUUAUCUCCCUUUGGUUCUUGUUUGUCUAUAGAUCUAUUGCACCACAUAUUUUAACAUUGUAUUGUAUGUUACAACAUAUUGUAACAUAAUAUCUCUGGGAAAAGCUAAAAGCAGCUCACAAAUGUGCACUUUCUCCCCCAGCUGGUAAGGGUGGUGGUUUACAAGUAGCAAUUCCUAAAAUGACUUGAAUGCUGUAUUCAGAAGACAAGUAACAGCAUAUACCAUUUUAUUCAUUUAGAUAACUGCCAAAAAAAUUUGAAACUACUGCAUUUAUCUGUUUUUCUAUCACAGGAGUGGCUGUCCUGAUGGAUUCUGAAUUUUCAUUUUAUUCCAGCUCUGCACAUGUGAUAGAUUCAUUUGACUUUUUUCCAACAUGUACAAAAAUGCUGAGUGCAAUUCAGAUCCAUGUUCCUCCUGUACAGUGCAGACAGACCUCAAUUGCAGCUUCCUUAAAAAGAACAUAUUGGAGAAAUCCCUUUAUGCUUCAAACUUCAGAGGCUGAGCAGCAGAAACAAAUGAAGAAUUACAGAACCUGGAAGGCUGGGGCACCCUCUCCAAUAUGGGCUCCCCAUGUAGCCUUUUUGACACCCUGACUACAUCCUGCAAUUAUACAGUAAGAUUAAUGAGAGUUCAGUAUUUCUUACCUGUGUUAAGUAACAUUAAGAAAUUAAAUGUUGGAUAUCACUGAAGUUGAAAAAGCAUGAAGGAGAGGUGUGCUGAUGUUAGAUAGUGAUGGCCUCCAGUAUUCAAGUCCGAUUACCAACUUUUUAGUUGUAUUUGUUUUUUGGUAACACUAAUCCAGGAAAGAAUAUGCUAAAAUACUGUGUUCUUCAAUCCUUGUGACCCACAUCACCCUGACCUUUCCAAAGCAAAUAUGACAAGCUUUUUCUAGUUCUCACUGGGAGGAGUUCAAUGGGAAAAAGAGACCAAUUUUAAACUGCUCCCACUUUUAUUCUUAUUCAUGUCACAUCAAAAGUAGUUUUCUACUUAAAAAAAGGAAGCGUAGGCACACUAGCUUCAAUUCCAGAAUGAAAAGCAGGUGAUAAUCAAUUCUCAAUACUGGCAUAGUUUUUCUUUCUUUUUUUUUUCUCCCCUCAUUUUUCCUAAAUGCCAACUUGUCCAGUAGUCAGCAGUGAGCAAUUUGAAGUGUGCAGGGAUCCAUUCAGAAAGCAUUUGCUAAGUAACAUUUUAAUUUAAACCACCUGUUUAUUUCCACGAGCUCUUCAUGGAACACUCGUUUGAGAACAACACAACCCUGUGUAGGACAGGAAAACCAAAACCUUUGUGAUUAGACAACAGAUUUGUUAGCAUAACGAAAACAUUCUAGUAUGCAAUAAUGCCUGUCAGGGGCCAGGUGUGACUUAGCUGUUCAGUGCCACUAAGCUCAACGUUACGUUUGUUUUUCUUGACCUUGAAUUUGACUGUGUGCCCAUAUAUACAUGACUUCAGCAGUGAACUUAAAUUACCUAAAGCAGCAUAAAAAUAGAAUACAGCACUGGCAUCUCUGGAAACAGUUGUGUUAAGAAUACUCCAUUUAUAUAAAUAGUUCUGACAGCGAUGUACAGUAAGUUCCUCUUGCUAUUCUACAAUGCACUCCUCAAGGAAAGGAAUCUUUAGGCAGAGUGAUUUGGCAAUGCACAUCAAAACCUGAGGCUCCAGCUUUGUCCUGCACAGCUCUCUGCUUUGCUAAUGAAAUCUGAUCAACAUUUAGCAAUACCCAGGUGCAAGAAAAUAUAUAAAGCAGUAGCAGGGAGUAGUAGAGAGAAAGGAAGCCUCUCACUGUUAAGGAAACCAAUGAAAAUAAACAUACUGUUGGACGCCA